UCAAUAUCUGCUGAUAUCCCCUCACCAGCUUCUGUGAGCCAAGGCCAUUCUGCGGGAGAGGUGAAGAGAGGGAUGCUGGGAAUGAAGGCAUGAUGACCCACAGCUAUACAGGAGCAGGUAGUUCGGCUCAAUAAAGGAACCUGGGUGUGAUACAGUGGCAUUUUAGGAAGCACGUACAAUGGCUGAGGUCCCUCUAUGUGCAAGGAGGGCGAUGACAUCACCGUGCCCAAACUAGCUCCGCUACAGAAGCACUGCAACCUGAAGCCCAUUCUGGAAUCUCAGGACUCGGGGCUUCUGGCGGUAUCCCUCGGUGAAGCGGCAGAAAGAGUCAACCAGCCACAUUGUGAGUCACCUCUUGAUAAAUGCAUCAUCAAAGAAGCACUACGUAUUGUCCAUUUUAAGUAUUGGAAUGUGCAGUAAUUCUGCAAAUAAACAAGGUGAGAUCAAUGCAACACUGACCCAGACCAAUGCUAUCCCAAAUGAACCAUCAUGACCUGUAAACCCUCACCAAACUCAUCCUGUAAUGACAUCUA
This is a long non-coding RNA of Lepisosteus oculatus (spotted gar), 533 nucleotides long. RefSeq lists it as uncharacterized. The record is from RefSeq and is a predicted model, not a curated record. Lineage: Eukaryota; Metazoa; Chordata; Actinopteri; Semionotiformes; Lepisosteidae.